GAAGAACGCUAGCUACAGGCUUAACACAUGCAAGUCGAGGGGUAACAAGAGAAAAGCUUGCUUUUCUUGUUGACGACCGGCGCACGGGUGAGUAACGCGUAUCCAACCUGCCUAUAACUAGGGAAUAACCUUGCGAAAGUAAGACUAAUACUCUAUGAUUUCCUUUGAUGACAUCAGAUUAGGAAUAAAGAUUUAUCGGUUAUAGAUGGGGAUGCGUCUGAUUAGCUUGUUGGCGGGGUAACGGCCCACCAAGGCAACGAUCAGUAGGGGCUCUGAGAGGAAGGUCCCCCACAUUGGAACUGAGACGCGGUCCAAACUCCUACGGGAGGCAGCAGUGAGGAAUAUUGGUCAAUGGGCGGAAGCCUGAACCAGCCAAGUAGCGUGCAGGAUGACGGCCCUAUGGGUUGUAAACUGCUUUUAUACAGGAAUAAAGUUAGCCACGUGUGGUUAUUUGUAGGUACUGUAUGAAUAAGGACCGGCUAAUUCCGUGCCAGCAGCCGCAGUAA
RNAcentral lists this ribosomal RNA (506 nucleotides) under uncultured bacterium. RNAcentral describes it as "partial 16S ribosomal RNA". It matches the Rfam family "Bacterial small subunit ribosomal RNA", at positions 28 to 523 of the family's 1533-position model. The record is from RNAcentral.